AUUCCAGCUCCAAUAGCGUAUAUUAAAGUUGUUGCAGUUAAAAAGCUCGUAGUUGGAUAUCUGGUGGGAGCAAUGGGUCUCGUGCUUAGCGCGGGUACUUCAAUUGGCUCUUGCCAUCCUUGGGGAGAGCCCGUCUGGCAUUAGGUUGUCGGGCGGGGGAUCCCCAUCGUUUACUGUGAAAAAAUUAGAGUGUUCAAAGCAGGCUUAUGCCGCUGAAUAUAUUAGCAUGGAAUAAUAAGAUAGGACUCUGGUACUAUUUUGUUGGUUUGUGUACCAAAGUAAUGAUUAAUAGGAACAGUCGGGGGUAUUCAUAUUCCGUUGUCAGAGGUGAAAUUCUUGGAUUUACGGAAGAUGAACUACUGCGAAAGCAUUUACCAAGGAUGUUUUCAUUAAUCAAGAACGAAAGUUGGGGGAUCGAAGAUGAUUAGAUACCAUCGU
This 438-nucleotide ribosomal RNA is filed under the name Biddulphia sp. MACC2. Its description in RNAcentral is "SSU rRNA". It matches the Rfam family "Eukaryotic small subunit ribosomal RNA", at positions 582 to 1021 of the family's 1831-position model. The record is from RNAcentral. Lineage: Eukaryota; Bacillariophyta; Biddulphiophyceae; Biddulphiales; Biddulphiaceae.